AAGGGUUUAGCUCAGUGGUAGAGUGUGCGCCUACCGUGCAUGAGGUCCUGGGUUCAGUUCCCAGUACCUCCA
This 72-nucleotide transfer RNA is filed under the name Camelus bactrianus (Bactrian camel). It matches the Rfam family "tRNA". From Rfam's summary of the family: Transfer RNA (tRNA) molecules are approximately 80 nucleotides in length. Their secondary structure includes four short double-helical elements and three loops (D, anti-codon, and T loops). Further hydrogen bonds mediate the characteristic L-shaped molecular structure. tRNAs have two regions of fundamental functional importance: the anti-codon, which is responsible for specific mRNA codon recognition, and the 3' end, to which the tRNAs corresponding amino acid is attached (by aminoacyl-tRNA synthetases). tRNAs cope with the degeneracy of the genetic code in two manners: having more than one tRNA (with a specific anti-codon) for a particular amino acid; and 'wobble' base-pairing, i.e. permitting non-standard base-pairing at the 3rd anti-codon position. Lineage: Eukaryota; Metazoa; Chordata; Mammalia; Artiodactyla; Camelidae. The record is from Rfam by way of RNAcentral. RNAcentral also lists the same sequence under 1 other name.